UGGGGAAUAUUGCACAAUGGGGGAAAGACCCUGAUGCAGCGACGCCGCGUGAAGGAAGAAGUAUCUCGGUAUGUAAACUUCUAUCAGCAGGGAAGACAAUGACGGUACCUGACUAAGAAGCCCCGGCUAACUACGUGCCAGCAGCCGCGGUAAUACGUAGGGGGCAAGCGUUAUCCGGAUUUACUGGGUGUAAAGGGAGCGUAGACGGAUCUGCAAAGUCUGGAGUGAAAGCCCGGGGCUCAACCCCGGGACUGCUUUGGAAACUGUGGAUCUAGAGUGCCGGAGAGGUAAGCGGAAUUCCUAGUGUAGCGGUGAAAUGCGUAGAUAUUAGGAGGAACACCAGUGGCGAAGGCGGCUUACUGGACGGUAACUGACGUUGAGGCUCGAAAGCGUGGGGGAGCAAACAGGAUUAGAUACCC
This 419-nucleotide ribosomal RNA is filed under the name uncultured bacterium. Its description in RNAcentral is "bacterial SSU rRNA". It matches the Rfam family "Bacterial small subunit ribosomal RNA", at positions 355 to 787 of the family's 1533-position model. The record is from RNAcentral.